AUUGAACGCUGGCGGCAGGCCUAACACAUGCAAGUCGAGCGAGCGGCGGACGGGUGAGUAAUGUAUGGGGAACUGCCCGAUAGAGGGGGAUAACUACUGGCAACGGUAGCUAAUACCGCAUACUAUCGGAUGUACCCAGAUGGGAUUAGCUAGUAGUUGGGGUAAAGGCUCACCUAGGCGACGAUCUCUAGCUGGUCUGAGAGGAUGAUCAGCCACACUGUGACUGAGACACGGCCCAGACUCCUACGGGAGGCAGCAGUGGGGUGUAUUGCACAAGGGGCGGGAGCCUGGUGCAGCCAUGCCGCGUGGAUGGAAAGGGCCUUGGGGUUGUAGAGUACUUUCAGCGGGGAGGCGUUACCCGCAGAAGAAGCACCGGCUAACUCCGUGCCAGCAGCCGCGGUAAUAC
Molecule: ribosomal RNA, 406 nt
Filed under: uncultured bacterium
Lineage: Bacteria
Description: partial 16S ribosomal RNA
Rfam family: Bacterial small subunit ribosomal RNA
Source: RNAcentral